CGGCGCACGGGUGCGUAACGCGUAUGCAACCUGCCUUAUACAAAGGGAUAGCCCAUGGAAACGUGGAUUAAUAUCUUAUAGAACUUAAGAGUCGCAUGGUUUUUAAGUUAAAACUACGGUGGUAUAAGAUGGGCAUGCGUCUGAUUAGGUAGUUGGUAGGGUAACGGCCUACCAAGCCGACGAUCAGUAGGGGUUCUGAGAGGAUUACCCCCCACACUGGUACUGAGACACGGACCAGACUCCUACGGGAGGCAGCAGUGAGGAAUAUUGGUCAAUGGGCGAGAGCCUGAACCAGCCAUCCCGCGUGCGGGAUGACGGCCCUAUGGGUUGUAAACUGCUUUUCUACCCCAAGAAACCCUGUUACGUGUAACAGGUUGACGGUAGGGUAGGAAUAAGCAUCGGCUAACUCCGUGCCAGCAGCCGCGGUAAUACGGAGGAUGCAAGCGUUAUCCGGAUUCAUUGGGUUUAAAGGGUGCGCAGGUGGGAAUGUAAGUCAGUGGUGAAAUACUGCCGCUUAACGGUAGAGCUGCCAUUGAUACUGCGUUUCUUGAGUAUGGUUGAGGUAGGUGGAAUGUGUUGUGUAGCGGUGAAAUGCAUAGAUAUGACACAGAACGCCGAUUGCGAAGGCAACUUACUAAGCCAUUACUGACGCUGAGGCACGAAAGCGUGGGUAGCGAACAGGAUUAGAUACCCUGGUAGUCCACGCUGUAAACGAUGUUCACUCGCUGUUUGCGAUACACAGUAAGCGGCUGAGCGAAAGCAUUAAGUGAACCACCUGGGGAGUACGAUCGCAAGGUUGAAACUCAAAGGAAUUGACGGGGGCCCGCACAAGCGGAGGAACAUGUGGUUUAAUUCGAUGAUACGCGAGGAACCUUACCUGGGCUUAAACGUAGAUUGCAUAAUUUAGAAAUAGGUUUUCCCUUCGG
This 926-nucleotide ribosomal RNA is filed under the name uncultured bacterium. Its description in RNAcentral is "bacterial SSU rRNA". It matches the Rfam family "Bacterial small subunit ribosomal RNA", at positions 96 to 1022 of the family's 1533-position model. The record is from RNAcentral.